This 155-nucleotide transfer-messenger RNA is filed under the name candidate division GN15 bacterium. Its description in RNAcentral is "partial transfer-messenger RNA". It matches the Rfam family "transfer-messenger RNA", at positions 1 to 165 of the family's 374-position model. From Rfam's summary of the family: Bacterial tmRNA, also known as 10Sa RNA or SsrA, is named for its dual tRNA and mRNA-like properties. Its role is to liberate the mRNA from a stalled ribosome. The record is from RNAcentral.
GGGGGUGACAGGUUUCGACGGGUAUAGCGGGGGGCUGUUGGCGUGCCGGGGUUGUCUGGGUCCUCGUUAACAAACCGGGCAAACACACAAAUGGCGAAAACAACUACGCCAUGGCUGCCUAACCGCAAGGUUAGUUGAUGUGCCCGUCGUGCCUG